This 378-nucleotide ribosomal RNA is filed under the name uncultured bacterium. Its description in RNAcentral is "bacterial SSU rRNA". It matches the Rfam family "Bacterial small subunit ribosomal RNA", at positions 521 to 896 of the family's 1533-position model. The record is from RNAcentral.
UAAGACGUAGGGCGCGAGCGUUGUCCGGAUUUAUUGGGCGUAAAGAGCUCGUAGGCGGCUUGUCGCGUCGUCCGUGAAAACUUGGGGCUCAACCCCAAGCUUGCGGUCGAUACGGGCAGGCUCGAGUUCGGUAGGGGAGACUGGAAUUCCUGGUGUAGCGGUGAAAUGCGCAGAUAUCAGGAGGAACACCGGUGGCGAAGGCGGGUCUCUGGGCCGAUACUGACGCUGAGGAGCGAAAGCGUGGGGAGCGAACAGGAUUAGAUACCCUGGUAGUCCACGCUGUAAACGUUGGGCGCUAGGUGUGGGGGGCCUCUCCGGUUCUCUGUGCCGCAGCUAACGCAUUAAGCGCCCCGCCUGGGGAGUACGGCCGCAAGGCUA